GAGUGGAAGUGGCGGUUGGGGUCCUGUUACAGUAGUUAUAAACCUGCGAGGGGUGCCCGGAAACGCGAUCUUUGUGCUCUCCCGGCCGGGGGCUACUAGUUUGCUGUCCGGAGAGUGGAUGAAAUGUGCGCGCAGCAAUGGAGUGUGCGUGUGUGUGCGGGCCAGUUAGUUGUGGCAAGGUGAACCCCACCCCCCGCACCCGCAAAGCCUGUGCAGGUAGAAGGGACGGUGUGUUACGGGACUGACGGCGGAGCCAAGUGAAAGGAGAGGUCUAGAAAGGUUCCCAUAGUCCUCUGGGCUUCAUUGCCUCUCCUCCCCUACUGCUUCUCAACUCUUUACAUGGGGGGAAGGGGUCCACUCAGGCUCCGGGGCGCCCUGAGCUAGGAAGCCCACUGGAUGGUAUGGGGAGCCAUUGGGGAUAUUUGAGGGAUGUGGUCCUCAGGCUGGGAGCCUCUCCCUUAGGGAGAAGGAUGCUUUAAAAUUUUCAGAGGCUGACCCACAAGUCCCAGGAGGCACCUCUGUACCUAAUAGGAAUAAUGCAAACUUUGGGGACAUGACCUCCAACUUAAGGAGAGUGAUUUGCAGGGCGCCUGGGUGGCUCAGUCGGUUAAGCAUCCGACUUUGGCUCAGGUCAUGAACUCGAGGUUGGUGGGAUAGAGCCCCAUGGUGAGCUGUGAGCACAGAGCCCACUUGGGAUCCUCCUCUGUCCCCCUCUCUCUCUGCCCUGUCCCUGCUCACACUCUUAUCUCUCUCAAAAGUAAACAUAAAAGAAAAAGGAGAGUGAUUUGCCACACUCCUUGUUACCAAGGACUGCCUAUGGCAGUGGGCACAUUCCUGCCCUUUGUGUCAGAAUCUUAGUGGAGUUUGGGGUAGGGUGGGGUGGUGUUCAGGCUCUCCUUAGGGGUCCAUUCUCAGGCAUCCAAUCAACCCAAGGAGAACAGAGGAUACUGCAUUCUCCCACAGCCAGGGGCCCCCACACACUCCCUACGCAUGGUCUUCCCUGGCCAUCCAAUAUAGACACAUUUGCCACAGUUCCUCUGCCAUCCAGUGGCCCAGGCUCCCCAUCACCACUACCUGGGAACACAGCACCACCCCCUCCUCAGAAAAAGGGAUCUAGGCAGGGCAGAGGAGAGAAAAGGAGGGUCCCGGGACCCUCUACAGAGAGGACCCCUACUUUUUCCUGGGAUUGGAGGGGUCUACCCAACCCCCUUGGCUGGGGAAGCAAGGGUUAAUGUACACGCAUGGCUCAAAGGUCCCAUCAUUCCCCCACGUGCUGGGCACGGCUAUGCCCAUUUCCCCUCAAACUGGAAAAUGCAGAGGGAGAUUGAUGGAUUCAGGAUGCUAGUGGUUGGGAUGAAUGAUCAGUGGUUAUUGCUGUGACCCAAGCUGCCUUGAGUGUGUGGGGGUGUUUACUCAUUACUGAGAAUUUACUAGAGUAUUUUUCACUGACCUAGGGUCCUGUGCCAUCAGAGAAAAUACUGGUCCUAUCAGGAGGACCCCACUUACCCCAAGCCCACUGGACCACACACACACAUUCAGGCACACACACCAUGAGGUCACCGACAUGCACACAUAGCACACGCCACACAUUCCCCACUGGUUGGCCGUGAGCUGCCUCCUUUUAGAAGCCCACUUGAUUUUUGAGUUCCUGAAACAUCAUCCCCCUUGAAGUGCUGCAGCCUUGGACAGAAGAGGUGGGUAGGGAGUCCUCAGGCUCACAGAGGAUGCAAAUUGUGUUCAGAGUCUCCGCCCUUAAGCCAGUUUUGUUUGGCUCACAGUGAUUUUUCUUUAAAAAGUUUUUUUUUUUUUUUAAUUCGAUGCCAAUAAUUAAAAGUUGGGAGAUUUCACACACAAAAAAACUGGAAGAUAGUGGCAACAAUUGGCUGAGCUGAGGAUGGGGGGAUGGUUCUCCCAUUUAUCACAGUCCCCAAACCUGCCCUCUCUCUGACACUGCUUGGCUCCUGUUGAGAUGUGAGUUGGUGACAGCUCAAAUCCCCAUGGCCAGUGCUAACCAAUGCCAGUACCUUCCCUGUGAGCCUGAAGCCCAGGAACACCCCCUCCCCCCGCCCCACCCCAGUCCAAAAUACUCCAAGGUCAUGGGUCUGAGUACCUGCCUUCUCACUGUAGCUCUUACUCCACCCUCUGAAUCUCCAGAGCUGCUUUGGGAUGCCUGGGGUUGUGGGAUGGAGAGGGUGGGGGUCUCUGGAGAGAUAGGGUCGGCCACUGCAACCGACCCUGGUACUCUGGAGUGAUCCCCACCUGGACACCAUCCCACACUGAAGUGGGAAUGGAGAAGGGAGGAGAGUCUGGCUUCUAGACAACUCCCUGCCUCUUAGAGCAAGGAGAAGCCAAGCAGAAAGGACAGUAAAUAGACCACUACACAGACUAAAAUGCUCUAAAAUGCCUAUCAAACAAGACCUCAGUUAUUCGGCAUUGGUGAGUGUUUUAAUGUUUGGUAACUUAAAUAUUCUGAUUAAUCUAGUAAAUGCAGGUAAUACUGGGAUCUACCUCCUAGGCUAUUAUGAGGAUUCAAUGAGUUAAUUUUGUGAACUGCUUAGAUCACUGCCUGGCACAUAAUAAAGUACUAUGUGCCACUGGUCAUUAAAUAAAAUUUAAAAAUAAUAAUUGGAAGCCAUCACUAUAUGCAGGGUGUGACUAUAAAGUACAAAGACACCAUUUUGGAAGUACAGCAAAGAAUGCUGCCUCUUUUCAAAGCUGUCCCUGGGGAAGCUGUGUGUGACCUCCUCUUUGGGAAACCCUGCAGAAAAAGAGCCCAACAACACCGCAGACUCACAACUUCCCUACCCAGCCUGGGCCCUUACAGACAAGCAACUAUACUCAUGCACGCAAAGCAUGCAUGGCUCUACUGAGCUGCGCAUGAACUUGACCCAAUACACGUAGUUCCAAAUGGCCUUCGCUCUUUCCAGAAAUCAGAGCCACCCUCAAAAGAUACUAAUGUUAUCAGGAUCACCUCCUGUUGGCUUAGAGCGUUAUGGCUUACAAAAUACUCUCCCCAUCACCACAGGAGGUGGUCCCCUAAAGGACAGAAUGUUUGAAUCACGAUCUUACUUUAAAGGACACAUCCUCUCCCACAGGUAUCAGUUUGGGAGGGGAGGGGUGUCUGUGAAAAUUCAGCCACCUUUGGAAUGCUUAACAGGAUUCCCCACCUCCAAAAGCUUUGGAAACAGAAAUAUUUAAUGCUAAAACAGAGGCUGAAGCUAGUGCCAUCAUCUUUGAUAAGUCACAAGGCACUUGGGGAUCUUAGAGUACCUCAGGGUUCUGGUCACCGAGUGGGAGCUGUGCUCAGGGUCAGGUAGCAGAACCCUCUGGAAGGGAAUGCCGGAUAACAGAGUGCUUGGUUUCAUCUAACCCCGGAUAGCAGGGGCCCUGCCCCCACCGCUGCUGACUUUCAGAGCUGCUGGUGGACAGACUCCCCUUCAUUUCACCCUCUGCCACUAGCUAGGGAAGAUGGGAAGAGGGCCAGAGGGUAGGGGGAAGGGAAGGGGGCAGUGCCAGAAUGUGGAAGGCGGGAGUGGGGCUACUGUCCAUCCCACCCCCUAACCUUUGUGCUUUGUGUUCUCUGUCCUUUCUCUUCAAAGGGUCUACCCUGCCGCUCCUCUCCCCUCUGCCACAGCAGGAUGUAGAGCCACCCAAAACACACUGGAGGGCAACAGAGGCUUGAACUUGGGGAGGUUCAAAACUCCUUCUGAGCUGGCGGUCCUGGCUGCACUGAGAGUUAGGGGUCCGAGGCCCUCCAUCCAAGCGACAGAGACACCAGCCCACGGCUCCCCUCACAGCACACGUGCGCAGUCUGAGUGUAACACCCCAGCCAGAGUGUGGCAGCUUCCGGAAGGACUUAAUCCCAGCGUGCUCCUGCCCUUCGCUUGCCUUCCAUGCCCGGUUGAAGCGCCACCUUUGCGAGACCACCCAGCUUCCCAGGCAGGCCCCCCGCUUCUAGCAAAGAAGAGAUCUCUGCUCCCCGCUUUAUGGCCCUUGCCAAUAAACACCCAUGUCCACA
Long non-coding RNA from Felis catus (domestic cat), 4018 nucleotides. RefSeq lists it as uncharacterized. Lineage: Eukaryota; Metazoa; Chordata; Mammalia; Carnivora; Felidae. The transcript is spliced from 2 exons. The record is from RefSeq and is a predicted model, not a curated record.